GCGGGUGGGUCAGCCGGAGGGAGGGCACUGGGUUCAGGCUGCAGGGCGGCAGCCUCCAGACACCAGCUGCAAACCUGGGAGGGGAGAGAGGAAGCCCAGAGUGCCAAAGCCAAGCCAGGGCUGGAAUUAUGUUGCUGAGGCUCCAGACCUCUGCUCUCCUGCCUCCCACCUUCUCUACCCAGAGACCCUCUCCUGGACCCAGCCCCCUCAGGACCCGCUCCAUAGCAGCGGCCCCCGCUGCAGGAAGUCACGCGUCUCCGCAUCUGAGAAUCCUCUCCGAGCCACUUGCCCUGUGACCCUGGGCAAGUCUCAACCCCUCCCAGCUUGGGGGGGCUCAUCUGUCCACCACACGAGAUCACUGCUGUGAAAGUACCUGGCUUGUGUGUCAAUGGCCCGUGCUUACUGAGCACCUGCUGUGUGCCAGGCUCUUUUCCAGGCACUUUACCUUCAUUAAUUCAGUUAAUCCUCCCACCAACCCUGUAAGUGGCAUACUAUUCCCUGUUACCCUCUCCUCCCCAGGAUGGAGAAGGUCCCACCUCACAGGGGCAUGGUGAGGGACAAAUGAGAUAAUGGAAGAAAAUUGCCUUGGACAGAGCUAGGCACCUGGGUCGCACACCCGAAGCCUCAGGAGCCAGGUACGUGGCGUCAGCUGAGCUCCCCACACUGGUUUAAUUUCCCUGUUCCACACCCCGCAUGGCAGACACCAGGUGGGCAAUGCUGGCUGCAGUUUCCUGCCAUUAACAGAAGGCACCGUGCAUCCCUGGAGUCCCAAGAGGCAGGGCCAGACUGGGUCCCCUGGCUCCCUGCCCCUCGUGGGGCAGCCCUGCGGGACGAGGCUAGCCAGACAGAGCCGGUCCCAGAGGAUGCUCCCCACUGCCUGUCAGUCCCUGCCCAGCCCAGGCCUCCUGCUCGCCCUCCAGGUCCCACCAUGACCGCCCCCCCUCAGGUGCCCGCCCUCUCUCGCCUGACUACUUCCAUGGCCUCCUCACUGUUCUCUCCACUCCCACUCCUCUCUGCCCCACAGUCCUCCCUCCCACCCAGCCAGAAGGGUCUUUCUAAACCCCGAUGUGACACUGUUGCUCCCCCAUCUGCCGUAGCUCCCACCCCCCUCUAACCUUUGGCCCGGCAUUCAAGACCCUUCUCAGUUUGGGCCUUACUACCUUUUCCCACCUAGAGACCACACUCUAGGAAUCCUGCGUUCGGUGGCGCCUUCUUGCUUCCCACGCCCUUUCACACCCCUGAGUCUCUGCAUGUGCUGUGCAUCCUUCCUUUAAUUCAUUCUUUGUUUAACUAAUACUUGAGGUUACUGCACACGGGCACUGCUUAGGCACAGAAAUAUGAAAGCAAACAAAAACAACAAAGGCCCUCCCCUCAGAGAGCUUACAUGCUAGUGCGAGAGCCAGAGAAUUAACAAAUCAGCAAAUUUAAAGUGCAUCAGAUGAGGACCAUGCUCAAAGGUUAAAGCAGAGAAAGGGGACUUGAAAUGUUAAGGCAAGGAGGAUGCUGGCAUCUUACACAGGGUGGCCAGGGAUGAUCUUGCUGGGCCCAGCCCAGGACCUUCCCACCUUGGGAGAAGCUUAUGUGCCUGGGAGUUAGGGGGCUGAAUCUGAGCCAUUCCAGCAGGGCUUCCUGGAGGAGGCAUCCUGAUGCUGACCUUGAAGCAUGGGAGGUUAGUACACAGGGUGUGAGAAUCCCAAUAGGAGGGGUUCCUGAUGGAACCUGGGAGUUGAUUCACUCCUAACCCAUUGGAUGCCAGGCAGGGGGCAGCCCUCACCCUAAAACUGGGCCUUGAACCUCGACUACUGGCCCAGGUACUUCACCCCCAGGAGCACCUCAACUCCCACCAGACCCUGUUCUCUGGAUCAGGAACUGUGGGGCUGAGCCAGUCAGGGAGAGUACAUCAGGCAGGAACACGGCCUGAGCAAAUGCCUGGGGCCCAGACUCAGUGUGGCCUGUGGGGAGGGCAGGUGGACAUGGUGGACAAUGGGCUGGGCCUUCCAAGGGGCAACCAUGCCAGGUCCCCAGCCAAGGUGGCCAAGGAGCACAGUUUGUGGCCAAGUUGCCACAGCCCACUCUGACUUUAUUUUAUGAACUUAAUUUGUCCCACACAUCACGCCAACAGCUCAGAAUCAGGCCGCCACGGGAGCCACUUACCUUGUUCUUCUGCUACAAUUCUGCCUGUGCUUAGGUAAAGUGGGCCCCGUGGUGCUUCUCUGCUGCUGAUUUGUGCCCGGAGCCUCUGGGGAUGGGGUGGUUCCGUUGCUAUUUGCAGAAGGCCCCUGGGGCUUGGAAAUCUGACCUAGUAUAGUUUCUUAUCCCUGGGCUCAGAGCAAAUUCACUGUCCCCAUUUUACAGGUAUGGAAGGUAAGGCUCGUGGUUACACAGUGAUUCUGUGGCAGAGAACCCAGGCCUGCUGCGUCUCAGCUGGAGCACUUUCCGUUGCCUCAUCCAGUUCAGGAUUUUGUCAACAAGUCUUCUCAGCCUAGGUGGAAGACCCCCAGGAUGCCUCUGCCUUCCCCACCUAGACCCCACAGAAUCUCCCUACACAGCUCCCAGCCCUGCCACCAGAGGGAACUGGUGAGUUUAGGUGGCAUCCUUGCUGAAAACAACCAUGGAGGUCCACGGAGAUCCAUCCCACAUUAGGGACUGAUUUCCCCAGUGUGUGGCGGUCAUAUCGGGAGGGAUGCACAGGGUGAUUUUAGGCGAUACAUGGCCAAAUAUCUUCUUUUCACAGUAAUGUAUUUAUUUUCAAGUGUAUUUAGAAAAAAAUAACAAGCACAUCAAACCUGGUAUUAUUGCCAAGGACACAUGAAGAAAGGCUUUGUUUCAAUUCAAAAUAGAAGAAUACACACAGGUAGAGAGAGAAUGUUAGCGAUUGUUGAAUUUUGGAUAAGGAUAUAGGGUGUUCAUUUUCUAGUCUUUCACCUCUUCUAUGUAAUAGAGGAAUUGCAGAGUACAAAGUUGGUUGGGGGAGAAUAAAACUGAGGAGUGGUGGAUGUCACUGUGCAAUGCUGAGCAAGGGCAGGUCUGAAAGGGCAGCUCUAUUACACAGAGCUCCACGUGUUUGAGAGCGCACGGCUGCAGAGCGAAGAAUGGACAGGCGGGAGAGAACAGAGGUGACUUCGGAGCUGCUGCCGUGGUCCGGGGAGGCUGCCGUGGGAUGGGGAAAACGCCUGUUUUCUCUGCUCUCAGUAAUAGAGCACAGCCAUAUGCAGACUUGGGAGCCUGACUACCCCCGUGUGGCUCUGGCCUGUGGCCUUGAACAAGUUCCUUCACCUGCUUCAGUGUCUCCCUCUAAAAAUUGAGGUAGUAAUAGUACCUGGUACCUCAUCAGGUUAUUCUGAGGCUCUGACAAGUUAAUAGAUGUAAGGCAUCGGAACAGUGCCCCACCAGAGGCAGGACUCCAGAAACGCUGGCUGUGCUAUAGCUGGUCCAUUCCUCAGAGGACUCUUGGCAGGGCACUGACGUGGGUCAUGGUGGAAAACAGCCUGGUGCCCGGUGAUGGCCCUGCACUGGGGAGCACUUCAUGACACACACGCACAGAUCCCAGCCAAUUCUGCAUUCAAAAUGCAUUAUAUAAAUCAAUCAGAUUUAUUAAUACUUCUAUUGGGCUGUUAAUUUUUUAUUUUAAUUUAAAAAUUUUAAUAACAUUGUUUUGUUUUCACUGUUCAUUUUUAAGAUGAAAGUCUGAGGCACAUCAUGCUGGUUUCAUUUGCAGGAAUAAUGAAAAGUUUCCUUUUAAAAUAAAGUUUAAGAGAGUUGGUCGGUCUCUGAACUACCUUCACAAUAUUCCUAUAAAUCUAAAACUGUUCUAAAAUUAAAAAUUUAUUCUAAAAACUCA
Orcinus orca (killer whale) is the source of this 3841-nucleotide long non-coding RNA. RefSeq lists it as uncharacterized. The record is from RefSeq and is a predicted model, not a curated record. NCBI's taxonomy places the organism in Eukaryota, Metazoa, Chordata, Mammalia, Artiodactyla, Delphinidae. The transcript has 3 exons.